This 73-nucleotide transfer RNA is filed under the name Dermatophilus congolensis. RNAcentral's name for it is "tRNA-Thr". It matches the Rfam family "tRNA". From Rfam's summary of the family: Transfer RNA (tRNA) molecules are approximately 80 nucleotides in length. Their secondary structure includes four short double-helical elements and three loops (D, anti-codon, and T loops). The record is from RNAcentral. RNAcentral also lists the same sequence under 2 other names. Lineage: Bacteria; Bacillati; Actinomycetota; Actinomycetes; Micrococcales; Dermatophilaceae.
GCUGGCGUGGCGCAAUCGGUAGCGCACUUGUCUUGUAAACAAGGGGUUAGGGGUUCGAGUCCCCUCGCCAGCU